This 465-nucleotide ribosomal RNA is filed under the name Vreelandella stevensii. Its description in RNAcentral is "partial 16S ribosomal RNA". It matches the Rfam family "Bacterial small subunit ribosomal RNA", at positions 338 to 795 of the family's 1533-position model. Lineage: Bacteria; Pseudomonadati; Pseudomonadota; Gammaproteobacteria; Oceanospirillales; Halomonadaceae. The record is from RNAcentral.
CCUACGGGGUGCAGCAGUGGGGAAUAUCGGACAAUGGGCGAAAGCCUGAUCCAGCCAUGCCGCGUGUGUGAAGAAGGCCUUCGGGUUGUAAAGCACUUUCAGUGGGGAAGAAAGCCUUGGGGCUAAUACCCUCGAGGAAGGACAUCACCCACAGAAGAAGCACCGGCUAACUCCGUGCCAGCAGCCGCGGUAAUACGGAGGGUGCGAGCGUUAAUCGGAAUUACUGGGCGUAAAGCGCGCGUAGGCGGUCUGAUAAGCCGGUUGUGAAAGCCCCGGGCUCAACCUGGGAACGGCAUCCGGAACUGUCAGGCUAGAGUGCAGGAGAGGAAGGUAGAAUUCCCGGUGUAGCGGUGAAAUGCGUAGAGAUCGGGAGGAAUACCAGUGGCGAAGGCGGCCUUCUGGACUGACACUGACGCUGAGGUGCGAAAGCGUGGGUAGCAAACAGGAUUAGAUACCCGAGUAGUC